This 85-nucleotide transfer RNA is filed under the name Candidatus Babelota bacterium. RNAcentral describes it as "tRNA-Tyr". It matches the Rfam family "tRNA". Rfam says of the family: Transfer RNA (tRNA) molecules are approximately 80 nucleotides in length. Their secondary structure includes four short double-helical elements and three loops (D, anti-codon, and T loops). Further hydrogen bonds mediate the characteristic L-shaped molecular structure. tRNAs have two regions of fundamental functional importance: the anti-codon, which is responsible for specific mRNA codon recognition, and the 3' end, to which the tRNAs corresponding amino acid is attached (by aminoacyl-tRNA synthetases). tRNAs cope with the degeneracy of the genetic code in two manners: having more than one tRNA (with a specific anti-codon) for a particular amino acid; and 'wobble' base-pairing, i.e. permitting non-standard base-pairing at the 3rd anti-codon position. The record is from RNAcentral.
GGCGAGAUUCCCGAGCGGCCAAAGGGGACGGACUGUAAAUCCGUUGGCAAUGCCUUCGUAGGUUCGAAUCCUACUCUCGCCACCA